AUGCGUAGGGUGCAAACGUUAUCCGGAUUUAUUGGGCGUAUAGAGAUGCGUAGGCGUUCUUGUAAGUCUUUAGUUAAAUAUCACGGCUCAACCGUGGGUAAGCUUUGGAUACUGCAAGAAUUGAGACAGGAAGGGGCGAACAGAAUUCCCAGUGGAGCGGUGAAAUGCGUUGAUAUUGGGAGGAAUAUCAGUGGCGAAGGCGGUUCGCUGGUCCUUGUCUGACGCUAAGGCUCGAAAGCGUGGGUAGCAAAACGGAUUAGAUACCCGUGUAGUCCACGCCGUAAACUAUGGAUGCUAGGUGUUCGGUACAACUAUUUUUUCCUUCGGGAAAUGAUGGAAGUAUUGAGUGCCGCAGUUAACACGUUAAGCAUCCCGCCUGGGAAGUACGGCCGCAAGGCUAAAACUCAAAUGAAUUGGCGGGGACCCGCACAAGCAGAGGAGCGCGUGGUUUAAUUCGACGGCAAUCGAAGAAUCUUACCAGGGUUUGAAAUGUAUCUGCAUGCCUUAUGAAAGUAGGGAGGCCUUCGAGGGUGAUACACAGGUGCUGCAUGGCCGUCGUCAGCUCGUGUCGUGAGAUGUAGGGUUAAGUCCCGAAACGAGCGCAACCCCCAUCCCAUGUUACAAGUGUCUUGGGAAACUGCCUCGGUAAAACGGGGAGGAAGGUGGGGAUGACGUCUGGUCCGCAUAGCCCUUAUGUCCUGGGCUACACACGCGCUACAAUGGCCGAUACAGUAGGAAGCCAAAUCGUAAGAUGGAGCUAGUCCUCAAAAUCGGUCUCAGUUCGGAUUGAGGUCUGAAACUCGACCUCAUGAAGUUGGAUUUGCUAGUAAUCGUAGAUCAGCAAUGCUACGGUGAAUACGUUCUCGGGUCUUGCACACACCGCCCGUCAAGCCAUGGAAGUAGGUGAUACCCGAAGGUGUCCUGCCGUUAGGUGGGAUGACGAAGGUAACGCUUAUAACUGGGGUU
This 966-nucleotide ribosomal RNA is filed under the name uncultured bacterium BMS1-07. Its description in RNAcentral is "bacterial SSU rRNA". It matches the Rfam family "Bacterial small subunit ribosomal RNA", at positions 523 to 1482 of the family's 1533-position model. The record is from RNAcentral.